This 586-nucleotide ribosomal RNA is filed under the name Luteibacter rhizovicinus. RNAcentral describes it as "bacterial SSU rRNA". It matches the Rfam family "Bacterial small subunit ribosomal RNA", at positions 29 to 639 of the family's 1533-position model. The record is from RNAcentral. Lineage: Bacteria; Pseudomonadati; Pseudomonadota; Gammaproteobacteria; Lysobacterales; Rhodanobacteraceae.
AUGAACGCUGACAGAAUGCUUAACACAUGCAAGUCGACUCGAGUCUUCGGACUUGGGUGGCGCACGGGUGAGUAACGCGUAAAGAACUUGCCUCUUAGACCGGGACAACAUCUGGAAACGGAUGCUAAUACCGGAUAUUAUGGUUUUUUCGCAUGGAGGAAUCAUGAAAGCUAGAUGCGCUAAGAGAGAGCUUUGCGUCCCAUUAGCUAGUUGGUGAGGUAACGGCCCACCAAGGCAAUGAUGGGUAGCCGGCCUGAGAGGGUGAACGGCCACAAGGGGACUGAGACACGGCCCUUACUCCUACGGGAGGCAGCAGUGGGGAAUAUUGGACAAUGGACCACAAGUCUGAUCCAGCAAUUCUGUGUGCACGAUGACGUUUUUCGGAAUGUAAAGUGCUUUCAGUCGGGAAGAAGUCAGUGACGGUACCGACAGAAUAAGCGACGGCUAAAUACGUGCCAGCAGCCGCGGUGUGACGUAUGUCUCAAGCGUUAUCCGGAUUUAUUGGGUGUUGUGCGCGUCUAGGCGGCUAGGAAAGUCUGAUGUGAAAAUGCGGAGCUCAUUGCCUUAUGGCGUUGGAUGCUGCCUU